RNAcentral lists this long non-coding RNA (1935 nucleotides) under Malus domestica (apple). Its description in RNAcentral is "long non-coding RNA (MDOM_LNC019895)". Lineage: Eukaryota; Viridiplantae; Streptophyta; Magnoliopsida; Rosales; Rosaceae. The record is from RNAcentral.
GGAAUUGCAGGUUAUACCUUGCAAGUCUUAAGGACAAGCCACAAGGUAUGGUUUAUGUUCUUAUCUUUAAUUCUAAAUGUUAGAUCUUCUAAAUAUUUAUAUUUGAUAUAAAGAGCUAAUCACUUGUAUAAUUGUAUAUAGGUGGAGAAGCCAAGUAGAAGAUGAACAAGCAAGGAAAAUGUGGUGAAGGGUUCGGCCACUAUAUUUUUUGCUUACUACUUAGGAAGUUUGUUAGGCAUUAAAGAUUGUCUUUAAACUUUCUUAUUUUGUUAAAAACUUUUUAUGUGGCUUCAUAUGAUGGAAGAUCACUAUUAGUGCCUAAAUGUAUAAAGGUAUUUAUAUUAGUCUCUAAAUGUAUAGAGCUAAUAUUUUUUGUAUUAAACAUUAUGAAUGUUUGAAAUAUCAUAUUAAUGUAAUGUGAGAAUGCCUUUUUAAUAUACUAUUUCCUUAAAGUAGUGUUAUGAAUUGAAAAUUGUCUUGUUGUAUCCUAGAUGAGAUACAAGAGUUAUAUCACUUAUUGUAAUGUGAUAACCAAACUUUAGAUUUAUCAAUUAUGGAUAGAUCUCACAUGUAGGACAUAAAAGGAUACAAUGAAUCUUUAGAUUUGGUUCCAUUUGUCUACUUAUGAGUUCUAUAUGAAUUGACAAAAGUCUAGAGUAUCCUUUCUUGAAGAAAAGGAAGAUCACAUUAUAAUGAUAUAAGUAAUAAGAAAAACGUUUGUUAUAUGGUUAUCACUUGAAACACAAUGAUCAAGAUCACUCUUGAUUCAAUUAGUAGUUUUGAACAAAUAAUUGGGCAUUCUUUAAAAGGUUUUAAAAUGUCAAUUGUGUUAGUGAUUAAACCAAGAAAGAAGUGUCUAAAUCUAUAAAAUGUUUAAAGACUUUAGUCACUUAAUAACAAGACAUUAACUUAGUGACGAUUGAAACAAAUAAGCUUGAAAUGUUUUAAAGCUACUACACAAUGUCUUCUUCCAAUAUACUCCACUUUUAUACAUUUUGAAUGUAUUAAGUGAUUUCUCAUUAAAGUCAUGAGAAAUAGUGGGAGGUGUGAAAAUGGAUAUAAACUUGAAUAUGAUUGGUUUAUAGUUGUCUAAAGAAUAAUAGUAUUCGACUAUUAUUAAGAGUUUGCAAUUUUAAUUGUUAAAAGACUCAAGCUCUUCAAACGUUAAAAAUUCUAUGUUGUGUGACAUUCUAAAGAAUAGUCUUUGAAUGUUGGUUUCGUCAACCUAGCAUAAAAUGGUUAUAUGUUGGGAGUUGUCCAUCAUUCUCUUUUAUGAGAACAAGCUAAAUAACUAAGCAUGUGGACAAGUUGAUGAAACAAAAGGGAAAUAGUUUCAAAAUGAGUCACAACAUAUGGUUUAACAACAAGACAAUCCAAAUUCAACAUCUCAUGUAACUAUAACGCUCUAUGUAGUUUUAAUAAAGAAUUAUAUCAACCACCUAGAAGGAAUGGUUGAGUUUCUAUAUCCUUAGUAGGGGCCAUGCUUCCACUAAAGACUUGGAUAAUUCUUAUAUGACUACAUUAAAGGUCUUAGUGUGACUAGAACUUGAAGUAUGGUGUAUGACACUAUAUAAUUUAAAUGAAUAGACUUAAUGGAACAAGUCACACAUUUUAAAUGGAAUUACUUGAGAAGGAAUUCUUUUGUGUUUGAUUCAUUUAAGUUAGUGGGAGCAAUAUGCAUUCAAAUCAAGAAAAUAUAAUUGUUAUUUUUGAAUGAAUGCUAAGUUACAACAAGGUCAGUGGGAGUGAUGUCAUAAUUUGAGCGACAAGAUGUGAAUAAAGUCUAUUCGAUAGACUUGAUAAAACAUAGAUGUUACUCGAAAAAUGACAAAAACAUGACACGGUCAAUUUUGAAUUAUAGACUUGAAAUUGAACUUAUUGAUAUAGCAAGGCUAUCUCAAUAAUGUUAUAUGGGAAUUAAAUCUCAAAUGUUGU